RNAcentral lists this ribosomal RNA (253 nucleotides) under uncultured bacterium. Its description in RNAcentral is "partial 16S ribosomal RNA". It matches the Rfam family "Bacterial small subunit ribosomal RNA", at positions 524 to 776 of the family's 1533-position model. The record is from RNAcentral.
UACGUAGGGUGCAAGCGUUAAUCGGAAUUACUGGGCGUAAAGCGUGCGCAGGCGGUUUUGUAAGUCUGAUGUGAAAUCCCCGGGCUCAACCUGGGAAUUGCAUUGGAGACUGCAAGGCUAGAAUCUGGCAGAGGGGGGUAGAAUUCCACGUGUAGCAGUGAAAUGCGUAGAGAUGUGGAGGAACACCGAUGGCGAAGGCAGACCCCUGGGUCAAGAUUGACGCUCAUGCACGAAAGCGUGGGGAGCAAACAGG